This is a long non-coding RNA of Parus major (Great Tit), 937 nucleotides long. RefSeq lists it as uncharacterized. The record is from RefSeq and is a predicted model, not a curated record. The transcript has 2 exons. NCBI's taxonomy places the organism in Eukaryota, Metazoa, Chordata, Aves, Passeriformes, Paridae.
CCGCGGCCCGGGAGCGGCCGCCUCUCACGGGCUGGAGGCGCUUAUGAGGCGGUGCGGGGGCGGCUGCCCGCACUCCCGGGCCCCGCGGCGGGCCGGGCUGCCGAGGUGCCGCUGCUCACACAGGUGUGAUAUUUAUUUUUUUUUUAAUUUUUUUUUCUUUUUCUUUUUUUCUUCAGAGCGGCUCCCGCCUCAUUGGCACAGCUCGUUCGGUACCGGAGCCGAGAGAAACAACAGGUUUGGGGAUGCUCGCCAUCUCGACAGUAGGAUCUAGGAUCUGUAUGGAUUAACUGUGCUGCUCAGGGACCACAUUCAGACCAGAAUUGGUGGAGGAGCAUAAGUGCACAUGGCCUGGCCCUUGAUCAGAUCCAACAGAGUCUCACCAUGAAGAAUACAGAACUGACUGCUGAGCAAUGCUGAAGAAGCCACCUCGGGUCUAGUGAAGCCAGCGAAGAACUAUAGGAAUUAAUUCCCAGCUGGUGCCAGGCUAGGUCUCAUGGAGACAUUCAACAGAAACCUCGAUCACACUCUUUCUGCCUUACAUAGUUGGCAUUUCUGAGCAGCCUGAGUCAUAGAGAACAGGCUGCAUGCUUUCCAAGUAAACAGAGCAGUGCAAUUACCUUCCAGUUAUACUGCAUGAAACCAGAGGUUUUAAAAGCUGCACCAAUGUUUCACACAAAAAUCAAAUUAGGGAAGUUCAUUCUUAUGGUUGCUUCUCAGUGGGUACAGUCUUUUUUGAGUUUUGGGUUUUACAAGUCAGGUCCCAGCACUAGUCUUAAAAAUGUAUUGUUUUCUGCUGUAAUAGCAGUAGAAAUUAAUAAACAGUAGCUGUGCUUCUCAUGAAAUGCCAUGAAGUUUUUGGAAGGAACUGAAUACAUCUGUACCUAAAAGUCAGUAGAACCAUCUUCAGAAUAAUAAUAAAAAAAUCUGACUAAAAUGG